UUCCAGAUAUGAUAGAUUACAAGAGAACUUAGUCUGCAGACGAACUUUAAGAAUCACAAAUGAACUUAGUAAGCUUGGGCCUUUUUAGCGAAAAACUCCCUUGCUGUACUGUUUAUGAUGGCAUGACAAUUUACAGUUUUGAAGCAUGUAUUUUUAUACCUAGGCAUACGUGCCCACUGAGUGCUUUUGUACUCAGCCCUGCAUAUAUUUUCUAAAUGUGCAGGUUGAGCUGAUGUGAUGAUGGUGCUGCAAUGAGCGGAGUCUCCAGGGUUGUUAAUAAAUAGUUAACCUGUCUAGAAUAUGUC
This 305-nucleotide long non-coding RNA is filed under the name Salvia miltiorrhiza (redroot sage). Its description in RNAcentral is "long non-coding RNA (SMIL_LNC013921)". Lineage: Eukaryota; Viridiplantae; Streptophyta; Magnoliopsida; Lamiales; Lamiaceae. The record is from RNAcentral.